Molecule: ribosomal RNA, 265 nt
Filed under: uncultured prokaryote
Description: partial 16S ribosomal RNA
Rfam family: Bacterial small subunit ribosomal RNA
Source: RNAcentral
UACGUAGGUCCCGAGCGUUGUCCGGAUUUAUUGGGCGUAAAGCGAGCGCAGGCGGUUUGAUAAGUCUGAAGUUAAAGGCUGUGGCUCAACCAUAGUUCGCUUUGGAAACUGUCAAACUUGAGUGCAGAAGGGGAGAGUGGAAUUCCAUGUGUAGCGGUGAAAUGCGUAGAUAUAUGGAGGAACACCGGUGGCGAAAGCGGCUCUCUGGUCUGUAACUGACGCUGAGGCUCGAAAGCGUGGGGAGCGAACAGGAUUAGAUACCCGU